AUGGGAAAACCAGUUCCUGCCAUGCACCAUCUCCCCCGGCCGUGGAUCUGCCAGCUCCGGCCUUUCUGUGAGCACAACAAAGGGGAAGGCACAGGGCAUGGCUGCUGCAGGUGCCGUAGGCCGCAAACCUGCACCUCCUCAGCUCGGAGGAAACGAGCUCAGAGUGCACGGGCAGGCUCUCGGGACUCCGGCCGAACUCCCCGCUCUCCGCAGCCCGACUCCGGCUCGGGCUCUCUGGGCAAGCUCCUCGCUGCCAGGAGCGCUGCCCUCUGCCCUCGCCUGGGCCUGCUGGGAGCUGCAGGCCCCGCAGGAACUACCACUCCCAGGAUGCCGUGCGGCAGCACCGGGCGCCGCCAUGACAGUGCCUGUGUGCAGUGCUGGGCAGGGCUGGGCCUGCUGGCACAGGGCAGCGGGUGCUCCUUCCCUGAGCGUGCUGGCAUGUAAGGCACUUUGACCACUAUGCUCUGGGGGUGGGAUGACAUGUGCUGAGCAGUGCUGUUCCUGGCAGUGCGGCUGCAGAGAGGUCGGCCAUCUCGGCAGUCAGCAUGGGUGUGAGUGCCGCAGCUCUGCACACCUCCGGCCUUUGGGUGCAGCUGUCUGUGCUCCCAGUGCUGCACAGAGCACUUGUCACUGAAUCCCUGCAGAGCUGGGAGCUGAGCCCUGUGCUGCUGAGGGCUGAACCCUCGGAUAAAAAACUGUUUGUGUGUACAGUGACCGUUGGGGGGUCAGCAGCGCUGAAAAGGCGACUUGUGAAAUGUGGGUGACUGCUGUUGAAAGGAACGGUCCCAGGGAAGCAGUUCCCAGGAGGAGAAGGGAGAGGAGGGGCCUUUAAAGUUAAACCUUCCAGAGUUGUUGAGUUUCUAAGUUCAAAACUAAGUGAGACACAGCAGCGCUGGAUUAUGUAGCAGUGUGUUCUGGAGGAAUAAUGUCCUUGCCUUCACAGAAGGGUGGUGGUUCCUCAUCCUCUGAUGAACUUUAUUCUUUAGGAGUACCUUGAGUCAGUACAAGACUUGGAAUCUGGGAAAAAGAAUUGGAGAGCUGUCAAGAACGAUCAUCUGCUGGACCAUUCUAGCUUCAGUAAUAUGGCACUUACUUCUGGAGGUGUUUGAGACUGCAGAGUGGCACUUGAAAGGACGGUAUUGUUUCAACUUUCCUAUUUAAAAAAAAAAAAAAACAAACAAAAAACCAAACCCAAAGCAAACAAACAAAAAAACCCAGAAUGGAAUAUUUUUCCUGAGUGUCAUUGAGCAACCCACAAAUUGAGCCCAUACCGUAAACACUGACCAGAUACUCUAAGCAAAACACCAAACCCUCCCCUAAAAAAUUCCUAAUCCCUCACUCUGAAAGGCUAAUCUCUAAUCCCUAAACCCUGACUUAAACAUUUCACAUCCAAAGCCCAAUUCCCAUGCUCUGAUCCCAUCACCAUCUGCAUCUCUCCUAGCCC
Molecule: long non-coding RNA, 1444 nt
Filed under: Numida meleagris (helmeted guineafowl)
Lineage: Eukaryota; Metazoa; Chordata; Aves; Galliformes; Numididae
Description: lncRNA (ENSNMEG00000008044.1)
Source: RNAcentral